This 482-nucleotide ribosomal RNA is filed under the name uncultured bacterium. RNAcentral describes it as "bacterial SSU rRNA". It matches the Rfam family "Bacterial small subunit ribosomal RNA", at positions 23 to 503 of the family's 1533-position model. The record is from RNAcentral.
CUCAGAUUGAACGCUGGCGGCAGGCCUAACACAUGCAAGUCGAGCGGUAACAUUUCUAGCUUGCUAGAAGAUGACGAGCGGCGGACGGGUGAGUAAUGCUUGGGAACAUGCCUUGAGGUGGGGGACAACAGUUGGAAACGACUGCUAAUACCGCAUAAUGUCUACGGACCAAAGGGGGCUUCGGCUCUCGCCUUUAGAUUGGCCCAAGUGGGAUUAGCUAGUUGGUGAGGUAAUGGCUCACCAAGGCGACGAUCCCUAGCUGGUUUGAGAGGAUGAUCAGCCACACUGGGACUGAGACACGGCCCAGACUCCUACGGGAGGCAGCAGUGGGGAAUAUUGCACAAUGGGCGCAAGCCUGAUGCAGCCAUGCCGCGUGUGUGAAGAAGGCCUUCGGGUUGUAAAGUACUUUCAGUUGUGAGGAAGGGGUAACGUUAAUAGCGUUAUCUCUUGACGUUAGCAACAGAAGAAGCACCGGCUAAGGU